AGAAGAGGAAGUCGUAACAUGGUAAGUCUACCGGAAGGUGGCCUUGGGAUCAGAAUAUAGCUUAAUAAAAGCACUUUGUUUACACCAAAGAUAUAUCAAUUUGAUUAUUUUGACAUUAAAAAUCUAGCCUAUUUUCAUUAUAUAUUCUUUAAUUAAUUAAAUCAUUUUAACUAUAUUAGUAUGAGUGACAGAAAAUUUAUUAGCGCUAUAAAUAAAGUACUGUAAAGGAAAGAUGAAAUAGAAAUUAAAUAAAUUAUAAAAAUAUAAUUAAGCAAAGAUUAAUUCUUGUACCUUUUGCAUAAUGGUCUAGCAAGUUUUAUUCAACAAAAGUAUUUAUGUUGAAUUCCCCGAAACCAAACGAGCUACCUUAGAGCAAAUAUUAAAUAAUCCUUCUCUGUGGCAAAAGAGAGUGAAAGACUUUUAGGUAGAGGUGAAACCCCAAACGAGCUUGGAGAUAGCUGGUUACUUGGGAAUGAAUUAAGUUCAAUUAAAACCAAAAAUACCAAUAAGGAUACAUAAUGUUUUUAAUUUAAUAAAUUAGGGUACAGCCUAUUUUAUAAAGGGAACAGCCUAUAUAAAUGAAUAAAGAUUAUAAUAUAAAUUAUGACUAAGUAGGCUUAAGAGCAGCCACCAUAAAAUAGCGUUACAGCUUAAUUAUAUAUUUAAAUUAUUCAAAUAAAAUAUCUAAAUUCAUUUUUAUAACCAAGUUAAUCUAUUUAUAGAUAAACUACUACUAGAAUGAGUAAUAAGAAAUGUCUCUAAAUGCAUGUGUAUAUCAAAAUGAACUCUAUUGAUAAUUAACGAAAAGAUUUUCUAAAACAAGAAUCUAAAUUCUUUAGUCCGUUUACCCAACACAGGUGUAUAAAAGAAAGACUUAAAACUUAAGAAGGAACUCGGCAAACCAGGCUUCGCCUGUUUACCAAAAACAUCGCCUUUCGAUAAAUAAACAUGAAAGGUCCUGCCUGCCCAGUGAUAAAUAUUCAACGGCCGCGGUAUUAUGACCGUGCAAAGGUAGCAUAAUCAUUUGUCUUCUAAAUCAAGACCAGUAUGAAUGGCAAAACGAAAGCUUAACUGUCUCCUUAAGUUAGUCAAUGAAAUUGAUUUUCCCGUGCAGAAGCGGGAAUGUAUAUAUAAGACAAAAAGACCCUGUGGAGCUUUAAAAUAAUGUUAUAUAAAGAUUUUACAAUAACAUUAAGUUUUAGGUUGGGGCGACCGUGAGGUAAAGUAAAACCCUCGAGAAAAUAAUUAGAAAGACACUUCAAAUAAAAUAAAAUAUAUAUAUGACCCAUUAAUGAUCAACGAACCAAGUUACCCCAGGGAUAACAGCGCAAUCCUUUCUUAAAGUCCAUAUUAACGAAUGGGUUUACGACCUCGAUGUUGGAUCAGGACCCCCUAAUGGUGCAACAACUAUUAAAGGUUCGUUGUCAACGAUAAG
Molecule: ribosomal RNA, 1435 nt
Filed under: Chiropterotriton dimidiatus (dwarf splayfoot salamander)
Lineage: Eukaryota; Metazoa; Chordata; Amphibia; Caudata; Plethodontidae
Description: partial large subunit ribosomal RNA
Rfam family: Bacterial large subunit ribosomal RNA
Source: RNAcentral